AGAGCACACCUAGAUUUUGAUGUAAACAGACGUUUGUCUGCUGCAGUUCAGUAAUAUUUGGUGAUAUUUCAGAAUUGUCAAUUCAGGACAUGGAGUUUCACAGGACAAUAUAAUGAAUUUGCUCAGGUAAGAACAUUUAUUUAUAUUUUUGACGGUGUUAUCAUUUAGUUGUCAUUUUGACAUAUCAAACAGAUCCGGAGACUAUUCAUUCACGUGGCGGUCGAUUUAUGGUUUGAAAUCUUGUUUUCAUUUGAUUAUAAAAAAUUUUUGGGUUCAAUUAUUUGUUUCAGUGUCCAUGCAGUUUUAAUGGUCUGUUUUAGAGUGACAACGUUUAAAUGGUCAGACAACGUACGUCCCAUUUAUUGACGCAGAUCUUCCCAAAUACCAGUUGUAAGGUUUAAUUUAACGUAUCGUACAACGGCCAAUAUAUAUAUGUUAUGUGGCAAGAAUUACGCAUUUGCGUUUAUAUAAGAUGUGGUUACCUUAACCGGAAGUUGAUGUUAAUUUCAUCGGAAAUUGGUGUUAGUUUUACCGGAAGUCCGUGUUUGAUUUACCGGAAGUGGCAUAUCAAUAUUAAAGUGAAAUAUUUUUUAAGUGAAUAUAUAGUGAGCCAUACAUCAUUGAUGUUACAAGUGUAUACAAUAUAAAAAAGAAGAUGUGGUAUGAUUGCAAAUGAGACAACUGUCCACAAGAGACCAAAAUGACACAGACAUUAACAACUAUAGGUCACCGUAGGCCUUCAACAAUGAGCAAAGCCCAUAUCGCAUAGUCAGCUAUAAAAGGCCCCGAUAAGACAAUGUAAAACAAUUCGAACGAGAAAACUAACGGCCUUAUUAAGAUAAAAAAUGAACGAAGAACAAAUAUGUAACACAUAAACAAACAACAACCACUGAAUUACAGGCACCUGACUUGGGACAGGCACAUACAUAAAUAAUGUGGCGGGGUUAAACAUGUUAGCGGGAUUCCAACCCUCCCCUAACCUGGGACAGUUGUAUAACAGUACAACAUAAGAACGAACUAUAAAAAUUAGAUGAAAAAGGCUUAACUCAUCAGAUGGACAAAAAUACAAGUGGACGUGGACGGGUACUUAUACAUCCCGACACAAAAAGACACAAAAACAGAUCUGAGAGUUCUCGCAGUUAUCUAACAGCUAGUUCAAAGCCACUAACAACUAACAAAAAAUCAUGCAUCUAAGGAUAAACUAUCAAUCCGUACACAUCCAACAUCCAAUGAAUUUAGUGUAAAGACGUCAUAAACAGCCAGAGAAAAACACGACCUUGUGCAAUGCCAAGUUACAAGUAUCGACAGAUUGUAGAUCCAUGAAUAUGUAUAUGUAUAUAACAUACUAGUAAUAUUUAGUUAGAUUUUUAUUUACUGAUAACAAAAUCAAUAUUUAUACCAAAUAAACAAUAGUCAAUGAUCUUAUUAAAGUGUUGAAUAGGUAGCCUUUUAGAAUAAGUUUAUUUAAAGGAGCGACAAGUUUACAUGGAUCAUUUCUAAAUUUACGGGCACGGUUAACAACAUUUCUGUAAAAAUGAGGAUGUACUAUCCCGUUUGAUAUAAGCUUUCUACAGCCACCAAACUUCAAAACCAAUUCUUUAUAUCUAUGGAGAAAUUUAGUAAAGUUUUUAAGUAAUUUAUGGUAACGAUAUUCCUGGUUUAAUAAUUUACCAGUAAUACAUAGAUUGCGUUCGUUAAAAUCAAAAACGUCACAACAGACACGGGCAUAGCGAACGCGCUAUGAAAUAUAAACACUACAAGAUGGUACCAAAGGAACAUCACCAUCUGAUAUAAAAAAAAGAUGUGGUGUGAUAACCAUGGAAAAUUAACAAUAGGGAACAAAAAAUCGUCUCUUUUGUCGUAAAUUUUAGUGUGGAGUUUCCCGUUUAUAACCGAAAUAUUUAAAUCCAGGAAAGGACAGUUAGUACCGAAUAAAUUUGAUUUAUUCAAAGAAAGUUCCUUGGGGUAAAUGUCAGCAGUAUAUUGAGGAAAUUCUUGAUUAUUAACGAAAAAUAUCAUCAAGAUAACGGUAGGUGUUGUUGAAUUUAUCUAUUAAAUGCAAUUUUGACGGGUCUUUAUAGUGCGGUGACAGAAUAGGAAAAAGAGCUUAAUUUCACUUCAUGGUAUACAGCUAAAAAUUGGCACAGUCCUAGAAAAAUUAUUUUACUUGAAUUUUAGAUUGGUCGUCAAAAAGUCGUAUUGUGCAGGUUAUUUUAUUUCAGCUUUAAGUCAGCAAAUUUGACUUCAAAUGCAAAUCAUUAGUGGCAUGCAGUUUGGCAUUUUAUUCAAAAGGUGCCGAGGAAUAUCUUUCUCUUUUGUUUUAUUCAAACAUCCGACAUAAUGUUCUAUGCAUUAGGCGAAAAAGAUAAUCCUAAAAGCCUUUUGAUGGCAAAUUAUGAGGGAAAAAACUACUGCUAACGGGGACAUUUUGUGCUUUUACCUGAUUCCAACAUCAUACAAAAAAAGCGCUGAUGAAUGGAUUAUAUCGUAUAUACUAUAAAGUUAUAAAACUAAAAUUUUUCUUUUCAUGUACACAUGUUUUUAUGAGGUAAAAUUGUUUAAAACGAUAUUUUUUAAACUUUCAAAAAUCUCUGCUGUUCAAUCAUUUAAUUUUAAAAAAAUUCGGAUAGUAGUGCCCUGUCCAAGAUUGGGCUGAAUACAUAGUUUCCCGUAAUGUUUUGGACUUGAUAUUACUGGUUUCUGUUGAUUUUUUAUUACUUUGUUGAAUUAUUUGAGUGUCUGUAAUUCUUUUUAAGGAUGUGUCAAUAUGAUUUUAUCUAUAUAAGAGGCAAAAUAAGUGUUUCGGUUGUUUAUUUAAAUAAUAGGGAUCCGGCAAAAUCCAAAAAAGAUCACAAAACAAGAAAGACUAUUGAACCUUGACUUUAAAAUUUCAAAGAAGCAAACAUUCAGUUUAAUCCCUUAAAUAGUGUUAUUUUCUUAAGUGCGGAAGUGGGAUAUUUGAUUUAUUUUACCACUUACAGUUAAUCAAGGUAUUUUGACACAGUUGAUUGGCGUAAUGAUGGAAUUAUACCCGACAAUUGCGAGGAUGACAUGUUGUGACUUUAGUUCAUUCAUAGAGGGACAUCUAUGGUUCAUUCUAUUUGUUUGAAAAUUGUUUAUAAUAAAAGUGGAUACGAAUAAUGCAUAAGUCUACAUAGCAUAAUGGUAUUUACAGUUCGCGCUACAAUUUGAAAUGCAGAAACUUUUCAAAGAUCUAAAGACAUAUAUUUUGCUUAGCUCUUUGAUUUCAAAUUCAGAUAUAUUGAAGAUUUGAUGUCUCUCUUUAGCCCACACAUCAUUCAGUCAGUACAUGUAUUUCCCAGUUAGUUUGUGAUAAAGGAUACUACAGAACUAAAAUAUUUGCUUCUUAUCUUGACCUUUUCUUUGAUAUUGAGACAGAUUAACGACUACAAACAAAAAUCUAUGAAAACUUUGGAGGGCGAUUUUAACUUUCCAAUUGUCAAUUUCCCCAUGUCUCAAUGUACUAAACUCCUCUGCGCCAUCGUAUAAUGUGCAUAUAUCUCAAUAUAUCUUCCGCUCGUGCAUGUUGACACAACAAACUGAACUUUUUUCGAAAUUUUUGAUUUUGUUUGAACAUAUCAACAUCAGUAAACUACUGUUGCCUCUAAUGGUUCUUGAGGCAUACAGAUUAAAUAGCAACCAGCUCCAGUCAAGAAAUCGAGGUUACGGUAUCCAAGGUUGUGCUAUGUGUUCUAUUGUUUGUCUGUGGGUGUUUUCCUUUUGUUUAGGCCAUGGCGUUGUAAGUUUAUUUUUUCAACUUAAGACCUUUAAGCCCCUCUGGCAUAGUUCGUCUUUCUUUCAUAUGCUUGCAUCUAUUGUGAAAAAAAACUACAACCAAGACAAAUUAUUUCAUUUCUAAAACAGAACAUUUAAGUACAGGCUGUCUAAUGCUAAUUUGUCAUACAGCCACGAUAAACCUUUACUACUGAUCUGUUGCCUUUAUUUUGUACCACCAGCAGUGCGAUAUAAAUGUUAACCCUACUUCAGAUAUCAAAUCAAUUAUACAGACCAGACUGUAGAACAUAACAACCAGGACAAUCGGAAAUAUUCCGCAGACUACAGUCAUGGGAUCAUGGAUAAUGUUUGCUGUCGAUCAGAGAUGGCUUUUUUCUUGACUUUUGUGUAGAGAUAUUUUGAGUUGCAAGCAGCAAAAUAAGACAUUUUUUCAAUACAUGGUUCUUUUGAGAUUUGUCCUAGGGGUGCUCUGAAGUUUCAGAUGUGUAUGGCUCCUUUUUAUAGGUUGAUAUGGCCAAAGUGUAUUUUGCAAUGAAAUGUUUUGAAAUUGAUGCCUUAUGAUGCUGGAAUAAAGUUCGCUAUAUGUAAUACACAGACCACCACUCUAUCGCAAUGCACAACACAUUAAAAAUGUCCGAAGUUUAACAUUCAUAUUCGCAAUAUUAUUAUAGGAUUCAUGACUUAAGAAUGUUGUCGUGUUCUUUUAACACUAUGGACCAAUACUGACGUUAUAGAUUUGUUAAACCUUCCACUUUAGGACGACAUCAAAAGUUCAAUGUAAGAUAAAAAAUACUUAAUUCAUAUAGUUUUUUUUAGAGAACCCCCUACCCCCUCUUUACUUCAUUUGGAAAAAACAUAAUUGAUCAAUAAGGAUAUAUAUAUAAAAUCGAUGUCAAUACACAAUACUUGCAGCAAUUUUGACCCCACCCCAAAGUAUUUAAAUUAACUUUUUGAUCCUUCAUUGAAUUUUUUAUGUCGUCCCUUACGAACAUAUGUAUUCCAUCCAUGGGUCAGAACAUCGUUUAAAACAUUCCCAAUUACAAAAAACAUUUGAGGUCUGAAUUACUGAUUAAAGUUACGUAUAUUUAGUGCUAUGUUAAACAUAUAGUAUUUGUUGUAGUUCCAUUUCUAAAGGAAUAAAAUGUUCUAUCAUAAUACAUACAUUAAUAUUUUGAUUUAUACCUAUUAUUUAUACAAAUUUGUUUCGUAAAAAUCGUAAUGACAUUGUUAAAACUCAAUUACAAGUAUGUUUUGAAAUAAUUUUUGUUGUCUGUUGUACCGAAUUCAACGUACAUGGCAAAAACUUAAGUUUUCAGUUUCAUCGAGGUAUAAUAGAUUAUUAUAUUAAUAAAUACAUAUUUGUUCAUAAUUUUCUAUAAAUUAUGUUACGUUUUGACGGACGUUGUUCUUCUCACUUGAAAAAUAUACAUCAUUUAAAACUGAAAACUACCCUCCUUUUUGUGAAGUCGCAUACGUGUGUUUUGAAAUAUCAUGUACGUUGGGUUUCCACUUUUUUGGUAAACAAUUGGAUAAGAAAGAAAAGAGAUUCAAGUUUUCGAUCAUUCUACAGUAACAAGGGUAUUUAAAUUUGAGUUUGAUAUUCAAUUUUGUUUUCCCUUGAAAACGACAUGUGACCUUUCAUCAUAAUUUCUGAAAAAACUGCACCAUAUUUUCUUUUGACGACCAGAAGAAUCUCAAAGUACACAUAUUUCCGAAUCCAAUGAUAUAUGAUAUAGCCGUAUACCUUUUAUGACGAUUAAAAUUUCAUAAUUCCAACUUUGCUCACCGUCCUAUUACUGAGUUUAGUCAUAAACUGUGAUUCGUAACAGUACAAAAACAAGUCUGCUAUUAAAGGCGCACAAUUAGUGACCAUGGGGAUACCUACAACCUGUCGAUAAACUUUGUUGCCGAAACGUACAUAAAUAUUAUCAAGGAGAAAAUUAACAGCUUCAAUCAUCUCAUCACACCUCCAGUAAGUAUAUCUAGCAUAUUUACCUUUCUCAUUAGAGAAGAAGGCUUUAAAUGAGUUGCAGCAAAUAUAUUUGCAUUCAGCUUUACCAAACGACCAUUUAACUAAAUAGGAAAAACUUUUGUUUCAAAAGAUAGUGUGGAAGUGUAGUGUAAAGAGUAGAAAAAUCAAAACUGUCAACAGAAUCAAAAGGACCAUCAAAAGCACGUAAUGUAUCUAAAACAUCCAAAGAUUUUUUUACACUCCAAAAAUGGUUUAUACCACUAGGUUCAUAUAUUUUAUUACAAUAGCUUAUGCUCUUUAAUAAUGUUCAUGAACUAGUUAAGAGCACUGACAGAUUAGUUGUAGAACACUUACUAGAGGCCGAGAUGAAACGAUAUUUAAAUGUUUUUUGUGUAGUUUAGGUAGCCAAUACAUAACAUGUUCAGAAGAAGCCUGAAGCUUUGAUGUGGUUGUGAUAUGUUUGUUUACCAUAUGACUCUCUGUGGAGCGGAUGGAUUUGAAUGUAGAUGAAUUUAAAAUUUCAUUCUUAAGAACGUCCGUGUAGUAUUUACGGCGUACCACCACCACAUUGUUGGCUGCUUUGUAUGACGGUACAAACACAAACCGCUUUGAAAGUUCUUGAAGUUUAUUUCUUAUUCUGGAAAUAGGUGUAUUAUGUACUCUAUUUAUUUACUUCUAAAUUAUUUUCAAAAUGUAAUAUCUUCUUAUCUACAACAUUCAUACAUUUAUUUAAAUAAGAAUCAAGAGAUUUUUUAUCAGAUUUUUCCCGUUUACACCACUUUUUACAAAACGAGGAAAGAGCAUCAUUGGUGACUUUACGACACUCUUUCCAAUCUAUUUUAGAUGGAGGACGAUAUUUUGGUCCUUUUUUCAAAAUUUGUUUAACCUCUCUGUCCUGGACGAUACUGAGGUCCCCUGUAAUACCAUGGCCAUAGGGAACAUAUAUAAACUUCGACGAUUCACACAAGUCAAUAUUAAAUAGUGAAAAGUUUGGUAAAAUGAAAGUUUAGAAUAAUACAAUCUAAAGUAUCAACGUCCUAGAUCUUGACCGCAAACAGCGUAUGUAGCUGUGAUGAGACAUGUCCUGAUUGGUUUCAAUUUAUACCAACUAACAUUUCAGUUGUUUAUUUUGUUUAUUUGUAUUCAUUUGCAUGUUAUAAUUAUGUUUUAGUUUUGUUUGAUUUUGUUCAGUUUUGUUUUAGUAAAAUAUUAUUUUUUACUUGUGUUUCUAUGAAUGUUGGCCAACUGCCAAUCCGAUUAUCCUACGUCUUUACAUGUAUCGAUCAUAGUGUUUAAAUCUAACCAAGGCAUGCUAGAGGAAAAGUUUAUCAUAAAAGAGGGACGAAAGAUACCAAAAGGGACAGUCAAACUCAUAAAUUUAAAACAAACUGACAACACCAUGGCUAAAAAUGAAAAAGACGAACAGAAAAACAAUAGCACACACGACACAACAUAGAAAACUAAAGAAUAAACAACAUGAACCCCAUAAAAGUACCUUUCGUUGAAAAAUACAUUUCUAAGAAUUAUAUUUCUAUUUGAAAAUAUAUUGAAACUUUAAUUUUGUUCAAUACAAAAACAGCUUGAAAUGAAAGUAUUUGAAUAUAUUUUACUCCCAAUUCAUAAAUUUAACUUUUUUCUUUCAGAAUAAAAACGGAAGACUUAUCACCGUGUCAACUCAAAAUAAUAAUCACGAGCUAAUUAUUGUUUUUGCGAAGUGACGAAAGCGACUGAUGAUGACUAUUUCAUAACUGUCUUUUUAUUGCGAUGUCCUCAUUUUGACAAGUAAACAUAUGUGUUUGAUUCAUACUCACUGGAUAUAUCGUUUCAACGUAUAUGAAAAGGAGUAACAUCGCUAGUGUAAAUGGUGAAGCAGAAGCCGUUCUACCUUGUUUUAUGAUUGACUUAGAAUAAGUGGAUUCCAACAUAUUAAUCACAUGAUAACA
RNAcentral lists this long non-coding RNA (7671 nucleotides) under Mytilus galloprovincialis (Mediterranean mussel). The record is from RNAcentral. Lineage: Eukaryota; Metazoa; Mollusca; Bivalvia; Mytilida; Mytilidae.